This 460-nucleotide ribosomal RNA is filed under the name uncultured bacterium. RNAcentral describes it as "partial 16S ribosomal RNA". It matches the Rfam family "Bacterial small subunit ribosomal RNA", at positions 338 to 795 of the family's 1533-position model. The record is from RNAcentral.
CCUACGGGAGGCAGCAGUGAGGCAUAUUGGUCAAUGGGCUUACGCCUGAACCAGCCAAGUCGCGUGAGGGAAGACUGCCCUAUGGGUUGUAAACCUCUUUUGUCAGGGAGCAACGCCGGCUACGUGUAGCCGGACUGAGCGUACCUGCAGAAAAAGCAUCGGCUAACUCCGUGCCAGCAGCCGCGGUAAUUCGGAGGAUGCGAGCGUUAUCCCGAUUUAUUGUGGUUCACGGGUGCGGAGGCGGAAUGCGAAGUCAGCGGGAAAAUCGCGGGGCUCAACCUCGCUCCGCCGUUGAAACUGGCGGUGUUGAGUGGGCGAGAAGUAUGCGGAAUGCGUGGUGUAGCGGUGAAAUGCAUAGAUAUCACGCAGAACUCCGAUUGCGAAGGCAGCAUACCGGCGCCCAACUGACGCUGAAGCACGAAAGCGUGGGUAUCGAACAGGAUUAGAUACCCUUGUAGUC